This 85-nucleotide transfer RNA is filed under the name Corynebacterium cystitidis DSM 20524. RNAcentral describes it as "tRNA_Leu_TAG". It matches the Rfam family "tRNA". From Rfam's summary of the family: Transfer RNA (tRNA) molecules are approximately 80 nucleotides in length. Lineage: Bacteria; Bacillati; Actinomycetota; Actinomycetes; Mycobacteriales; Corynebacteriaceae. The record is from RNAcentral.
GGGCUUGUGGCGGAAUUGGCAGACGCGCUGGAUUUAGGUUCCAGUGUCUUCGGACGUGAGAGUUCAAGUCUCUCCAGGCCCACAA